UACGUAGGGUGCGAGCGUUGUCCGGAAUUAUUGGGCGUAAAGAGCUCGUAGGCGGUCUGUCGCGUCGGUCGUGAAGACUUGGGGCUUAACCCUGAGCUUGCGGUCGAUACGGGCAUGACUGGAGUUCGGCAGGGGAGACUGGAAUUCCUGGUGUAGCGGUGAAAUGCGCAGAUAUCAGGAGGAACACCGGUGGCGAAGGCGGGUCUCUGGGCAGUAACUGACGCUGAGGAGCGAAAGCGUGGGUAGCAAACAGG
Molecule: ribosomal RNA, 254 nt
Filed under: uncultured bacterium
Lineage: Bacteria
Description: partial 16S ribosomal RNA
Rfam family: Bacterial small subunit ribosomal RNA
Source: RNAcentral